RNAcentral lists this long non-coding RNA (2780 nucleotides) under Homo sapiens (human). RNAcentral's name for it is "HSALNT0093463". Lineage: Eukaryota; Metazoa; Chordata; Mammalia; Primates; Hominidae. The record is from RNAcentral.
GCAUGACUAAGGAUCUUGCUCAGAUCCAGUUGUUCUCUGUCGAUUCAUUUGCUAGCUCUUUUCCAUAUGCUACACUAUGGGGUUCCAGAUUAAAGUCCUGAACUUACUGCUUCCUAGAUUGUGAUUUUGAGCAAGAUAACUACUUUUUUACACCUUUUUUUUCUUCUAACAUGGAGGUCAAUAUAAAGCACAACUGUGUGACAUUAUCGUGAAGGAUAAAUAAGGCAGAACUGAGAGGUGCUCCAUGCUGCUGCCUCACUGGAUCAUCUGGCAGGUACUGCUGAGGCCUACUCAGUGAGUGACCACACUCAAUGAGCCAUCAUGAUGGAGGCUUCUCCGAGAGCACUCUCUCAAUCAAGAGUUCCCAUCUCAGGAUCUGCUCCUACAAGACCCAACUUAGGAUAGUAAUGAUGUUUAUCACUUAUUUAGUGAAUAUGUGUCAAGUGCCAGACAUGCCUACAUUCAACAUGCAGUGGCAAACAAGACAAACAUUUUACAAGACAAACAUUUUACCCAGUUUCACAGGGCUCAGAGGCUUGUGGUCUCACUAGUGUUAUUUACUAGGUAUUUUAUUAAUCAAAAAUGAUAGUAGUUUGUAAAAAUACCUUUGUUAAUGUCAUAAUUAUUCUGACAUUAGCUUCUGAAUUUAUGGUAAUCUGAUCAUAGAAUAUGUCAUAUAAGAUCUGCUUUAGGAAAAAUGUAUUAGGAGCUUAAAACAUUUCAUACGUAUUCUAGAAAUAUUCAGAGAGAAAGUAUAUUACCUGACUCCUCAACCUGGUUUUUACCAUACUUUUCUAGUCUUGUUCCAUAUAUUAUGGGAUCCUUGGGGUGUUGCUUCACCAGCCAGGAGCCACUGUGGACAGUGGUGCCUUUGCCUGAGUUUUCUUCAGGCCCACUGGGCCCACUCAACCUGGUGGACUGUGCUUGGUUUGCGCUACUGGCCUGGAUCCCAUGCCUGCCAAGGGUGAGUGGAGUGCUGAGGGGUAUGUGAGCAAGCAUGGGGUCCAGCCACUGCACACAGCCAGGUUCCUUGAGGGCUAUGGUGGGGUGGGCAGCUCCAGGCACUGGCAUGGGCUCUGGCUCCCUGCAAGGCUGUGGCUGGACCAGGCGUAACGCUAGCAGCUUCCAUGGCUGGCACCGGAGAAACACAUUGUCACCCAGAAGCUUGGAGAUGCCAGGAACGAAAGAAUUCCAAAGAGGGUGUCACAGCCCUGGCUUGGAGAACUCCUAGGUCUGGGCUUCCUGAAGGGCUGCAGCUCUUCUCUCCUUCUUGUCCCCAGUAAUGUGGCAAGCAAGGGGUGUGUUUCAACUCUGUUGACUUCCAGGGCCACCGACAGUGCAGAGGUGGCCAGAUCCGCAGCCACAGCUUGGACGGCUGCUGCUGCACCCAGGAGGGCAGGUCUCUUGCCUGCUGUCUACCCGCAAGAGCAGAGGGAUGCCUGGGUCUGCAGGGGCAACUAGGUGCCUGCAACUGCGCCCAGGGAUCGAGAGGCUCCAUCCUGCCAGCUCGGAAGGGGGUAGGGCUUCCUCCUGUUCCUGGCUCCCACCAGCUGGGUACACAUGAAGCCCAAGCUGCACCUCCCCUACUGCUGCUGGCAUCAUGGCAGCAGCCGCGUCUGGGGCCACCACUGCCAUCACAUAGAUGCCAUAUUGCUACUCAUUGAAAUUACUAAAGAGGUGUCUUUUAAAAUACUGUUUGGCUGGUUUCUUCAUUAAAUUAUUUCUUCAAUCAUUUUCUUCCUGUUUUUUCAUAAUUUAAUAGUUUUCUUUACUUAUUUUGUUCAGUAUUUAAUCAUAGUCCCUGUGUUCUUUGGUUCUCCUCUCUAUGGAUUCUACCUAAGAAUUUGCCAACAAUCACGGUAUGUCAGUUUCCUUGUUCUUUGCACAUUCUUCUUGGGUACUGUUGAAAACUUUAGUACAUAACCAAUAAGGCAGGUUGGGAUAAGUGAUUUCAGGCUAAUUCUUGGUGCAUAAGUGGUACCUCUUUGGUGUAUUUCUGCUUUAAGAGAUGGUCUUAUUUUAUCCUCUGCCUUUCUUCUUAUAUUUCCAACUUUAAUAAGUACAAUUUCUAGUAUCCAGGGGUACCUCAUGGUCCUUUCAUUUUUUAACUCAUUUUGUUCUCAAGGACUUUACCCUUCCACCAGCAUUUUAAUCUACAUGUCCUCUUCACAGAGCAGGUCCAUUGUUAUCUGUCAGCCACAAUGUCUGCAUGGAUGUGGAGCUGUAGAAGUGUACAUUAGAAGUAUUCUGAUCACACGAAAAGAAGUCCCCCCAAAUAGAUAGAGAGACUGGUUUUGCCUAAUAUCAUUUUAGUAGCCAGGUACCUAAUUUCUUUUUUUCUUUGUCUUUAUAGAAAUUUGAAAAGAAAAUUGGGGGGAGGGCAGAAUCAAACAAUACUAGCAAGAAACUUUUUAAAAUUAUAACCAAUCAAUUGCAUUUUGAUAUUUUUCAAUGUAGUGUUAACUUUAGCUACAUUUUCCCAAAGGAUAAAGACAAAUUCACACUCUCUACAUGCCCUGAGAACAUUCCUUAGGGAUAUGGUCAGCAACAUUCCCACCCUCCUCAUGCCCCAGUGAGAAUCUGUUCAACAUUUCUUCUCCAGUCUUCUAUUAUAUAGAUAUAUUUUGGAGAUUGGAGGGGUCCAACGGUACAAAACUCUAUACAAAAGCAUGCUAAACACUGUUCUAAACAUUAGAAUGAUAUAAGAAACCAUACAAUAUAGAGAUACAUGUAUCAUUAUAAAGUAUCUAGGUGAGAACACUCAAAUGAGAAGAUUUGCC